CUGCUGCCUCCCGUAGGAGUCUGGGCCGUGUCUCAGUCCCAAUGUGGCCGUUCAACCUCUCAGUCCGGCUACCAAUCGUCGCCUUGGUGGGCCUUUACCCCGCCAACUAGCUAAUUGGACGCGAGCCCAUCUCUCAGCGGAUUUCUCCUUUGGUCCAGACAGGAUGUCCCAUCCGGACGUUAUGCGGUAUUAGCGAUCGUUUCCAAUCGUUAUCCCCCUCUGAAAGGCAGGUUGCUCACGCGUUACUCACCCGUCCG
RNAcentral lists this ribosomal RNA (257 nucleotides) under uncultured bacterium. Its description in RNAcentral is "partial 16S ribosomal RNA". The record is from RNAcentral.